UUUUUUUUCUUUUUGGGACUGCACCUGUGGCAUGUGGAGGUUCCCAAUUGGAGUUGUUUUAGCUGUUGGCCUAUGCCACAGCCACAGCUACACGGGAUCUGAGCUGCGUCUGCGACCCAAACCACAGCUUAUCAAAACGCUGGAUCCUUAACCCAAUGAACAAGUCCAGGGAUCGAACCCGCAUCCUCGUGGAUGCUACCGUUCAAAUUAAGAGGGAAGUUAUGGUAUGCAACACUGUAUAAAAUAUUUUCAUAUUCAUUGUUAUUUAAGGUUCACAACAAUUCUAUUGGGUCAAUUUUUUGUAGCUGUGCAAAUGAGAUUCAGAGGGGUUAGAUCAAAUUUAAAGAUACUACUUAUAUAGUGUGCUGUGGUGAGACUUUAAACUAGGGCUUCAGAUAGAGUUAAAAAUGAUUCCAUAAUCCACUGUGUCAUGUCGCUAGAAAAAUAACCCAUGUUUAUGUGUAUAUCUUCAAAGUUUGAAUAACAGAAUUAAAAGAUAAUAAAAUAUUUUUCUAUUAUUAUCUGUCUUAAAAUUUCUAAGUGCUAAAAGGCAAAAGGAGGCACAAAAGCUAUUGCCAGAGGAUAAUUUCUAGAAAGCUUAUGAUUAAGUUGUCAUGAAAAUUAUAAGCAAUUGUAGAGGAAAAAAACACAGAUGGCUUCAAUGAUUCGAAAUUUACAAUGAGAAAAAGCACACGAAAAAGUAUCCAGAUUCCCAAAAUAGGCACCAGAUUCAAGCAUGUCCCAUGGUAAUAGGUCUGAGUUUAAGCAUGGUCUGAGUUUAAGAGAAGAGUUUUAACAACUUCUUGAACAAAUCGAUUUUUAUCUUCCCAAAGACUUAGUAGCACCUGGCUAGAAGGAUGAAGCACCUACCUUAGAACCACUGGUUCUGGACUGUAUCAGGUUUCAGCCCAGAGAAUAAAUAAGAAAAACUCCAAGACUAGGGGUGGUUCAUAAAGAAAGCUGUUGAAUUAUUUCCCAUCUGCAAAUUUUGUUUUGAUCUAAAUUUAUAAAACUUAGCUAAUAUGGCUUAACUCUUUUUUAUUUUCAAACAAGAAGCUGUUAUAUAAUGUAGAUUUCAAUAAUAAAUUCUUCAGAUACAAUGUAAGGAAGGGUGAUUUAAUAGACUGCAGUUUGAUCCUAGAGAUAGUCGUAUGUAGGCUUCCAUCCUAGCUCUGCUAUUCAGUAGAUAAAUGGCCUUAGACAAAUCUUUAGCAUCCCUCAUCUCUAUAAAGACACUAACAUUAUGGAUUAAAAAUGAACAUGAAACAUAAUUAGUGCUCAAUAUAAGAUCAUAAUGGUAAUGAAGAAGACAGAUAAACACUUGUAUUGCUUUGGUCUAAAUAAAUAAUUUGGAGAAGAUCUCUUUCUUGAAACAACUAGAGUGAGGUUGUUUGGCAUCAGAAUGCAAACAACAUAAUAACUUAGAAAUGAUUAUAGAUCUUUUCUUAAUCAGCUAUGGAAAAGUUCUUCAUCCAGAAAGUAAUUAACAGUAAAUAAGGGGACAAGAUGGAUGAAAGGACCAAGAGUUUAAGUAAAAACAAGUAUGGCAACUCAGACAGAAUAAGGAAGCAUCUGGGGACAUAAAGCUGUAGUCGACUCCGACUCCUCCUGGGUUGCCCCCAAGUUUUGAGUUAAUUUUUACUUGCUCAGAUCUCAAUGCCUGAGGUUUUAGCAAACCUAACCUAGAAAUGGGGAGAAUCAAUAUUAAAUGUUGUUAAGUCAUAUUAGUAACAAUAUUAAUAUCAUUAAUAUUAAAUGUUAUUAAAUCAAUUAAGUACUUUUAAUUGAGGACAAAGUUUUAGAUUUCAUUUAAAAAUAUUUGUAUCAAACACCAUAAAAAUAAAGAAAAACAUUUAUUUAUAGAUAAAGCACAAGUAGCCUUUUUUAAAAAAAUGAAACAACACAAACAUUUUUUCCAAGAAUCACUAGUGCCAUAUAUACCACACAAAAUUUCUCCUACAAAAUGCGAAGCUAAGGGAGUAUGGAAGUCUGGAAAAAGACCAUAUAUUAAAUACAUUCUGUAGAACAAUUUCUCAUUUUCAGAUGCCAAUCAUAAACAACAAAAAACUCAAAGCAUUAAGUAAAAUUAAGAUAGCAGUAAAUUUAGCACAUAAGAAAGCGUGAGAGAAAAUUAUAAUAAUUUGAGUGUAUAAAUAAAUGAUAUAAUAGCAACUUAAUAAUUGUAUAGCAUGGGCCCGAAAAUACAAACAGAAUUAUGUGUCUACCUAGGAAAUGUUUUGUUUGGUGGAAUGAGAUAAAGAGAAAUUAGAGUCCAUAAUACCUGUGCAUCUACCCUGAAUGCAACUACAUGACAGUGUUAAGAGUCAUUGCCACACACAUAAAAACAUACAAUUACACAAAACUUUCCAAAUGUUAUGAAAUUGUAACAUUUAGUAUUAAUUUAAUACAGAUAUUUUUUAUACACAAAAAGUGUAACUGCAUUUAAUGAAGCCAUCUUCCUGUUAUAUGGACUGUACUGAUUGUAUUUUACAAAUUUGGAAACAAAUAUAAUGCAAUAUGGAGAAAAAGUAUGAAGAAGUUAUGUUACCCAAAGUGAGGUCUUCACAAAGUGUACUGCAAAAAGUAUACACUGAAAUCAAAUAUAUCUUGGAAAUUCAUCGUAUUACAUAGUCCCAUCCUGGACUUCACAAUGCAUUUGGCAUAUUAAAGUUUCUAUGGAGUCCUUCAGUAAAGAUACCUAUUUAUCGUUGUUUAAUCCAGUGCAUUGUGUUAUUCCCUAUUAACAUUUAGAGAAGGUACAGUAUGCAGUGGUAAAUGCUGAUCUAAACUCUAAAAACUCUCUGAGGGUAUUUAUAUUAGGUCUUAGAUAUUUUAGAUUUUUUUCUUAUUAAAACAUGACAGAACUAAUGUUCCCUCACAACCAUAUUGUCAUGCAGAUAAAAACAACUUAUGUUUUUAAAACCUCACAAUGCAUUUCAUCUAGCAAUGCAUCAGCAUCAAAGUACCAACAGCUACUCCAAAUCUGAAAUCAGAAAUCCUCAUGCCAAGGUUAAAUCUCUGAUAGGCACUAUCAUUCACACCUCAUCAGUAAGCAAAUCCUCCAUUAUUUUUCUAUGAACAUUGAAGUAUCUGUAUCUUUCCUCUGGCCUUCCCCAGUCUUCUCUUAUACUGCGGUUCUCAUGCUACCUCAAGUACCAGAAAUAGCUCAUCUAUCCCCAAACUUCCAACAACACUAGCCUCCAAUUUAUAAAAAUGCUACAGUUCCUAAAGUUUUUCUGAGGGAAUAAAUUUAUGAACACAGACACAAAAGGGACAUUCUCGUCCUCUUCCUCCUUCUGGGUGUCAUUUAUCUUCAGCCAUUAUUCAAACACACUUGCUCUAAGAAAGACUUAAUACAUUCCUUCAUUUCUGCAGCACUUAGGGUGACCUAGAUAAUCAUGGACAUUUGCCAGAACUGUCAUCCUCAUGUGAAUGGAUUCAUAAUAUUAAGGGGUAGGUGCUGCUUGCCUUCCUUAAAACUGAGACUAUAUAUCAGGUAUGGAAAUACACAAAAUUAGGGCGUGCUCUACCAUGAUUAUAUAGGUAGAAUACUGUAUAGCACAGAGAAUUCUACUCAGUGUUCUGGGGUAAUCUACAUGGGAAAAAUAUCUGAGAGAGAAUGAAUAUGUGUAUAUGUAUGACUGAAUCACUUGGUUGUACAGCAGAAAUUAUCACAACCUUGUAAAUCAACUAUACUUCAAUAAAUUAUAAAAAAACAGUAGAAUAUGAUGCAUUUAAUGUUUUGUUUGGGGCAAUAAAAAUAGCUAGCAUUUAUUGGUCAUCUCAUUCCUUGUGGUCCUAUUACCCCCAUUUUACAAAUGGGAAUAAGGAGUCUGGAAGAUUGAGCAUGUAGUCCAAGCUAAACAAAUUAUAGGCAUUGGAGACAGACCUCCCUGGAAGCCAUGAUUAAUUGUACUAUGUCACCCUUUCCUCCAUGCCCAGGAAUACUAACUGGACUCGGAUGAUUUAGGUAGGUCAAGCAGAGUCCUUCCCUCUGAAAUUCUGCUGGGGGAGAGACUCCUGUCUCAGUAUUCACCAAUCUUUCAAUACGUGAUUUGUGUGGCAACUACUUUUUUCCUUAUGGAGAAAGACAAGUGGAAGAGAAAAGAAUCAAGUAAAUACAAUAAGAAAUGAUGAAGGCUUCUGUUUUUAACCCUUGCAACUUUUUAGUGUCUGUUCUUGUGUUGCAAGGUAAAUCUGUACAUUUCAAAAUAAAUCCCCUCAUCGAUUUAUUUUUGGCUUAUUCAUUUUGACAUCACUUUCUAUUACAUGCAAGCAAAUAGUUCCUAACUAAUAUUCAAAGCAGCCUGACUCUUCACCUUAUUAUGGGCCUUCCUUUUAGGUUUCCUUCCCCGCCUCUUAU
This 4363-nucleotide long non-coding RNA is filed under the name Sus scrofa (pig). RNAcentral's name for it is "lncRNA (ENSSSCG00040069819.1)". The record is from RNAcentral. Lineage: Eukaryota; Metazoa; Chordata; Mammalia; Artiodactyla; Suidae.